UCCACCGUUCCUCCCAGCUGCAGAAG
This 26-nucleotide non-coding RNA is filed under the name Mus musculus (house mouse). The record is from RNAcentral. Lineage: Eukaryota; Metazoa; Chordata; Mammalia; Rodentia; Muridae.